UGGGGAAUUGUUCGCAAUGGGCGCAAGCCUGACGACGCAACGCCGCGUGGAGGAUGAAGAUCUUCGGGCCGUAAACUCCUGUCGAGUGGGAAGAACAGUUUCCGGGCGAAUAUCCCGGGAGCCUGACGGUACCACUAAAGGAAGCCCCGGCUAACUCCGUGCCAGCAGCCGCGGUAAUACGGGGGGGGCAAGCGUUGUUCGGAAUUACUGGGCGUAAAGGGCUCGUAGGCGGCCAACUAAGUCGGACGUGAAAUCCCCAGGCUCAACCUGGGAACUGCGUCCGAUACUGAUUGGCUUGAAUCCGGGAGAGGGAUGCAGAAUUCCAGGUGUAGCGGUGAAAUGCGUAGAUAUCUGGAGGAAUACCGGUGGCGAAGGCGGCAUCCUGGACCGGCAUUGACGCUGAUGAGCGAAAGCUAGGGGAGCAAA
RNAcentral lists this ribosomal RNA (426 nucleotides) under uncultured bacterium. RNAcentral's name for it is "bacterial SSU rRNA". It matches the Rfam family "Bacterial small subunit ribosomal RNA", at positions 355 to 772 of the family's 1533-position model. The record is from RNAcentral.